AACUAACGCUAGCGGCGUGCCUAACACAUGCAAGUCGUACGAGAAAGUCGGCUUCGGCCGGCGAGUAAAGUGGCGCACGGGUGAGUAACGCGUGGAUAAUCUACCCUUGAGUUGGGAAUAACGUGCCGAAAGGUGCGCUAAUACCGAAUAAUACUGAGUGACUAAUGUUGCUUAGUCAAAGAAGGCCUCCGCUUGCAAGCUUUCGCUGAAGGAUGAGUCCGCGUACCAUUAGCUAGUUGGUAGGGUAAUGGCCUACCAAGGCAACGAUGGUUAGCUGGUCUGAGAGGAUGAUCAGCCACACUGGAACUGAGACACGGUCCAGACUCCUACGGGAGGCAGCAGUGAGGAAUAUUGCGCAAUGGGGGCAACCCUGACGCAGCAACGCCGCGUGAGUGAGGAAGGUUUUCGGACCGUAAAGCUCUGUCGAGCGGGAAGAAAUGCAUGCUGGCUAAUAUCCAUCAUGCUUGACGGUACCG
This 476-nucleotide ribosomal RNA is filed under the name uncultured bacterium. RNAcentral's name for it is "bacterial SSU rRNA". It matches the Rfam family "Bacterial small subunit ribosomal RNA", at positions 29 to 480 of the family's 1533-position model. The record is from RNAcentral.